Small nucleolar RNA from Impatiens glandulifera, 92 nucleotides. Lineage: Eukaryota; Viridiplantae; Streptophyta; Magnoliopsida; Ericales; Balsaminaceae. The record is from RefSeq and is a predicted model, not a curated record.
AUAGAGGCUGUGAUGUUGAAUACUACCUAUUUGCUGAUCUGGAAUUAUCCUCUGUGAUUAGAAAACACCAAUGGAUCCUUCUGAGCCUUUUU